GAUGAACGCUGGCGGCGUGCCUAAUACAUGCCAGUCGAGCGAACAGACGAGGAGCUUGCUCCUCUGACGUUAGCGGCGGACGGGUGAGUAACACGUGGAUAACCUACCUAUAAGACUGGGAUAACUUCGGGAAACCGGAGCUAAUACCGGAUAAUAUAUUGAACCGCAUGGUUCAAUAGUGAAAGACGGUUUUGCUGUCACUUAUAGAUGGAUCCGCGCCGCAUUAGCUAGUUGGUAAGGUAACGGCUUACCAAGGCAACGAUGCGUAGCCGACCUGAGAGGGUGAUCGGCCACACUGGAACUGAGACACGGUCCAGACUCCUACGGGAGGCAGCAGUGGGGAAUUUUGCGCAAUGGGCGAAAGCUUGACGGAGCAACGCCGCGUGAGUGAUGAAGGUCUUCGGAUCGUAAAACUCUGUUAUUAGGGAAGAACAAAUGUGUAAGUAACUAUGCACGUCUUGACGGUACCUAAUCAGAAAGCCACGGCUAACUACGUG
This 497-nucleotide ribosomal RNA is filed under the name uncultured bacterium. Its description in RNAcentral is "partial 16S ribosomal RNA". It matches the Rfam family "Bacterial small subunit ribosomal RNA", at positions 28 to 507 of the family's 1533-position model. The record is from RNAcentral.